CCUUCGAUAGCUCAGCUGGUAGAGCGAAGGACUAUAUAGUCUGGUCUCUGUAAGAAUCCUUAGGUCGCUGGUUCGAUUCCGGCUCGAAGGA
RNAcentral lists this transfer RNA (91 nucleotides) under Equus caballus (horse). It matches the Rfam family "tRNA". From Rfam's summary of the family: Transfer RNA (tRNA) molecules are approximately 80 nucleotides in length. Their secondary structure includes four short double-helical elements and three loops (D, anti-codon, and T loops). Lineage: Eukaryota; Metazoa; Chordata; Mammalia; Perissodactyla; Equidae. The record is from Rfam by way of RNAcentral.